ACUCGCUCAUGCUUGCUUUCCAGUUGCACUGAUGCAGAAUUAUAAUGUUGGAUAUUCAAAACGAUGCAAUCAGAGACUCACAGAAAGAUUAUCCUAAAAUGUUAACAUAUGUUCUAUCCAUAGGUGUUUAUUGAUUUUCUGAAUUUUCAGCUUGACACGAAGCGUCACCCAUUCCUUCUCUCCAUAGAUGCUGCCUGGCCCGCUGAGUUAUUCCAGCAUUUUGUGUCUAUCGUCGAUUUAAACCAGCAUCUGUAGUUCUUUCCUACGCAAAGUAAAGCUAAGGAUGGCUUUGUAAAUUUUAGUUGUUGUCAUAGUGUCUUUUUGAAGAGGUUAUGACAACCUUUGCAAUUCUUAACGUUUGAAAUAAUGGAAUUGUAAACAGGUUUUUUUUGCAUACAAUUUGCUAAAUGUUUGCAAACAAGGGUUAUGAUGUUUCAAAUGGAAAACUGCCAAGUAGCAUGAUUAAAACUGCAGGGAGAGUUUGUUCUCAAUUGGAGACCUAAAAUACCAGUGGAAUGGAAUUACAAUUCUUCUAAGGCAUGACAAAACUUGUUCAAUAUCAAGAAAGAAUUGUAACGCUGGUGUUUCAGAAAUGAAUAUACAUUUUCUAUGCAAACAGUAAUCUUAACCUUACUAAUUUUUCUUGUCCUUUCCCCUGAUACAUAUGAUUUGGAACACUGAUAAAUACAGAGGCAAAAUCUUAUCUGUGGAAAGCACCAAGGCAGCGUGAAUCUAAAAAAGUUCCUCUUCUCAUAUGUCCACGGCUUGACCAUCUUUAGAUACUGAAGACAUUUGACUGGUACUUGGAUAAGACGGGCAAAGAGGGAUAUGGGCCUAAUGCAGGAUACGUACAGCUGGGAGGAUGUGUGACUGCUGGCUGCCGAUUCAUUCAAGAUCAAGAACUGAUGGGAACUGAAGCUAACAUCACUUUCAGAGACAGACAGUUCAAUGCCAAAUUCUGAAAGAUCAACUUCGC
This is a long non-coding RNA of Leucoraja erinaceus (little skate), 976 nucleotides long. RefSeq lists it as uncharacterized. The transcript is spliced from 3 exons. NCBI's taxonomy places the organism in Eukaryota, Metazoa, Chordata, Chondrichthyes, Rajiformes, Rajidae. The record is from RefSeq and is a predicted model, not a curated record.